Molecule: ribosomal RNA, 621 nt
Filed under: uncultured bacterium
Lineage: Bacteria
Description: bacterial SSU rRNA
Rfam family: Bacterial small subunit ribosomal RNA
Source: RNAcentral
AUGGGCAUGCGGCGCAUUAGCUAGUCGGCGGGGUAACGGCCCACCGAGGCGACGAUGCGCAGGGGUUCUGAGAGGAAGGUCCCCCACACUGGUACUGAGACACGGACCAGACUCCUACGGGAGGCAGCAGUGAGGAAUAUUGGUCAAUGGGCGCGAGCCUGAACCAGCCAAGUCGCGUGAGGGAUGACGGUCCUACGGAUUGUAAACCUCUUUUGCCGGGGAGCAAGCGUGCGUUCGUGAACGCGCGUCGAGAGUACCCGGAGAAAAAGCAUCGGCUAACUCCGUGCCAGCAGCCGCGGUAAUACGGAGGAUGCGAGCGUUAUCCGGAUUUAUUGGGUUUAAAGGGUGCGUAGGCGGGAUGCCAAGUCAGCGGUAAAAAUGCGGUGCUCAACGCCGUCGAGCCGUUGAAACUGGCGUUCUUGAGUGGGCGAGAAGUAUGCGGAAUGCGUGGUGUAGCGGUGAAAUGCAUAGAUAUCACGCAGAACUCCGAUUGCGAAGGCAGCAUACCGGCGCCCUACUGACGCUGAGGCACGAAAGCGUGGGUAUCGAACAGGAUUAGAUACCCUGGUAGUCCACGCAGUAAACGAUGAAUGCUAACUGUCCGGCUCGAAUGAGCGCUGG